CUUCGCUUUUUUCAGAGUUUGAACGACCGGUCUUCUAACAUUGGCUCGAAAAUCUGCAAAUAUAGAUAAGACGCAAACAAACAGAGAGACAGCCCCAGACAGAGCGCUCGGGAGUGUGAGUGCGUAAAAAUCUUAAUAGAGAGAGAGAUAGAC
Telopea speciosissima is the source of this 153-nucleotide long non-coding RNA. RefSeq lists it as uncharacterized. NCBI's taxonomy places the organism in Eukaryota, Viridiplantae, Streptophyta, Magnoliopsida, Proteales, Proteaceae. The record is from RefSeq and is a predicted model, not a curated record. The transcript has 3 exons.